AUUGAACGCUGGCGGAAUGCUUUACACAUGCAAGUCGAACGGCAGCACGGACUUCGGUCUGGUGGCGAGUGGCGAACGGGUGAGUAAUGUAUCGGAACGUGCCCAGUCGUGGGGGAUAACGUAGUGAAAAUUACGCUAAUACCGCAUACGAUCUAUGAAUGAAAGCGGGGGAUCGCAAGACCUCGCGCGAUUGGCGCGGCCGAUAUCAGAUUAGGUAGUUGGUGGGGUAAAGGCCCACCAAGCCAACGAUCUGUAGCUGGUCUGAGAGGACGACCAGCCACACUGGAACUGAGACACGGUCCAGACUCCUACGGGAGGCAGCAGUGGGGAAUUUUGGACAAUGGGCGAAAGCCUGAUCCAGCCAUUCCGCGUGCAGGAUGAAGGCCCUCGGGUUGUAAACUGCUUUUGUACAGAACGAAAAGGUUUCUACUAAUACUAGGAGCUCAUGACGGUACUGUAAGAAUAAGCACCGGCUAACUACGUGCCAGCAGCCGCUGUAA
RNAcentral lists this ribosomal RNA (500 nucleotides) under uncultured bacterium. RNAcentral's name for it is "partial 16S ribosomal RNA". It matches the Rfam family "Bacterial small subunit ribosomal RNA", at positions 30 to 523 of the family's 1533-position model. The record is from RNAcentral.